This is a long non-coding RNA of Rosa chinensis, 849 nucleotides long. RefSeq lists it as uncharacterized. NCBI's taxonomy places the organism in Eukaryota, Viridiplantae, Streptophyta, Magnoliopsida, Rosales, Rosaceae. The transcript has 4 exons. The record is from RefSeq and is a predicted model, not a curated record.
AUGUUUCACGGUUCCGUUUGCUAUCCGUUUCAGAACUAAUAAACUAAAACAUAAACAGAAGUCGAGUAGUGAAACAAUCAGAGGAAAAAAAAUCCCCAGAUCUAAACUGCUUAGCUCUUGUCUGUCAGAUCUGAAAACUUCCAAUCAGAGUUGGCUCAUGGGUUGGAGUUGAGUGGAAAACGAUUCCUCUGGGUGGCGAGACCUCCCAGAGCCGAUGGUGCUUCGGGAAGCUUCUUCGAAGCUGGUGUUGAUGGUGCCCUUACGGCGUCGUAUCUGCCGGAUGGGUUUUCGGAGAGGACACGAGGGGCAGGGCUGGUGACGGCGACGUGUACGGCCGACUUGCCCUAUUUUUCUUGUGUUCAAGAUGAAUAUGAGGUUGUUCGGAAGGUUGGAAAAGGAAAGUACAGUGAGGUCUUCGAGGGUAUAAAUGUCACCAACAAUGAAAAAUGCGUGAUCAAGAUCCUUAGACCAGUCAAGAAAAAGACCUUUUAGAUAAAAAUAUUACAGAAUCUUUGUGGAGGUCCAAAUAUUGUGAAGCUGCUUGAUAUUGUCAGGCAUGAGCUCUCAAAAACUCCUAGUUUAAUCUUUGAACAUGUCAACAGUACAGAUUUCAAAGUGUUGUACCCCACACUGACAGAUUACGACAUUCGCUACUAUAUAUAUGAACUUCUCAAGAUCCGUACGCUGUUACACUUUGGGGGAUAUGCUCUCCUGAGAAACUCCAGCAGUCUGUUUCAUACUUUGGGGGAUAUGCAGUCCUACUUUGUUGAAUGGUCAUUCGAUGGGUUAUAAUAAUAAUGUGCUUCAGGGAAGCACCUUAAGUGGCUCAACAUCAACAAAUACAGAUGA